AAGGCUAUAGCUCAGUGGUAGAGCGCAUGCUUAGCAUUCACAAGGUCCUGGGUUCAAUCCCCAGUACCUCCA
Molecule: transfer RNA, 72 nt
Filed under: Camelus bactrianus (Bactrian camel)
Lineage: Eukaryota; Metazoa; Chordata; Mammalia; Artiodactyla; Camelidae
Also listed under: 3 other names
Rfam family: tRNA
About the family: Transfer RNA (tRNA) molecules are approximately 80 nucleotides in length. Their secondary structure includes four short double-helical elements and three loops (D, anti-codon, and T loops).
Source: Rfam by way of RNAcentral